AUUGAACGCUGGCGGAAUGCUUUACACAUGCAAGUCGAGCGGCAGCGCGGGGCAACCUGGCGGCGAGCGGCGAACGGGUGAGUAAUACAUCGGAACGUACCCAGUUGUGGGGGAUAGCCCGGCGAAAGCCGGAUUAAUACCGCAUACGACCUGAGGGUGAAAGGGGGGGAUCGCAAGACCUCUCGCAGUUGGAGCGGCCGAUGGCGGAUUAGCUAGUUGGUGAGGUAAAGGCUCACCAAGGCGACGAUCCGUAGCUGGUCUGAGAGGACGACCAGCCACACUGGAACUGAGACACGGUCCAGACUCCUACGGGAGGCAGCAGUGGGGAAUUUUGGACAAUGGGGGCAACCCUGAUCCAGCCAUUCCGCGUGAGUGAAGAAGGCCUUCGGGUUGUAAAGCUCUUUCGGCAGGAACGAAACGGUGGGGGCUAAUAUCCCCUGCUAAUGACGGUACCUGAAGAAGAAGCACCGGCUAACUACGUGCCAGCCGCCGCAGUAA
RNAcentral lists this ribosomal RNA (498 nucleotides) under uncultured bacterium. RNAcentral describes it as "partial 16S ribosomal RNA". It matches the Rfam family "Bacterial small subunit ribosomal RNA", at positions 29 to 523 of the family's 1533-position model. The record is from RNAcentral.